CUUGCUGCUUUGCUGACGAGUGGCGGACGGGUGAGUAAUGUCUGGGGAUCUGCCUGAUGGAGGGGGAUAACUACUGGAAACGGUAGCUAAUACCGCAUAACGUCGCAAGACCAAAGAGGGGGACCUUCGGGCCUCUUGCCAUCAGAUGAACCCAGAUGGGAUUAGCUAGUAGGUGGGGUAACGGCUCACCUAGGCGACGAUCCCUAGCUGGUCUGAGAGGAUGACCAGCCACACUGGAACUGAGACACGGUCCAGACUCCUACNGGAGGCAGCAGUGGGGAAUAUUGCACAAUGGGCGCAAGCCUGAUGCAGCCAUGCCGCGUGUAUGAAGAANGCCUUCGGGUUGUAAAGUACUUUCAGCGAGGANGAAGGUGGUGAGCUUAAUACNCUCAUCAAUUGACGUUACUCGCANAAGAAGCACCGGCUAACUCCGUGCCAGCANCCGCGGUAAUACGGAGGGUGCNAGCGUUAAUCGGAAUUACUGGGCGUAAAGCGCACGCANGNGGUCUGUNAAGUCNGAUGUGAAAUCCCCGGGCUCAACCUGGGAACUGCACCCGAANCUGGNAGGCUUGAGUCUCGUNUAGGGGAGUAGAAUUCCANGUGUAGCGGNGAAAUGCNUNGANAUCUGGAGGAAUACCGUUGGCGAAGGCNGCCCCCUUGGACNAAAAAUGACGCUUCGGUGCGAUAGNUUGGGGAGCAAACANGAUUAGAUUCCCCUGGNAGUCCACCCCCUCACCGAUGUCAACUUGNAAGUUAUUAUCUUCCCGAGNGGAUUCCCUAUGCUGACGNANUUAGUUGACUGCCUGGGCAG
RNAcentral lists this ribosomal RNA (811 nucleotides) under Siccibacter colletis. RNAcentral's name for it is "partial 16S ribosomal RNA". It matches the Rfam family "Bacterial small subunit ribosomal RNA", at positions 79 to 880 of the family's 1533-position model. The record is from RNAcentral. Lineage: Bacteria; Pseudomonadati; Pseudomonadota; Gammaproteobacteria; Enterobacterales; Enterobacteriaceae.